UAAAACACAAAUUUUUAAAGAAGGUAGUGCUGAGAAGAACUAAAAGAGGGAGGGCUGCUGAUCUUGGUCUUCCUCCACGAAUUGUAUCAUUGAGGAGGGACGUACUGGAUAUCAGGGAGCGGGAUUAUUACGAGUCAUUGUAUAAUGAGAGUCAGGCACAGUUUAACACAUAUGUUGAAGCAGGAACAAUUAUGCAUAACUAUGGUCACAUUUUUUGACCUUCUCACACGUUUGCGUCAGGUGAGCA
Molecule: long non-coding RNA, 247 nt
Organism: Humulus lupulus (European hop)
Lineage: Eukaryota; Viridiplantae; Streptophyta; Magnoliopsida; Rosales; Cannabaceae
Exons: 3
Source: RefSeq, a predicted model, not a curated record